GACUGAGUGGCGGACGGGUGAGUAACGCGUGGGUAACCUGCCUUAUACAGGGGGAUAACAGUUGGAAACGGCUGCUAAUACCGCAUAAGCGCACAGUACCGCAUGGUACAGUGUGAAAAACUCCGGUGGUGUGAGAUGGACCCGCGUCUGAUUAGGUAGUUGGUGGGGUAACGGCCCACCAAGCCGACGAUCAGUAGCCGACCUGAGAGGGUGACCGGCCACAUUGGGACUGAGACACGGCCCAGACUCC
This 250-nucleotide ribosomal RNA is filed under the name uncultured Lachnospiraceae bacterium. RNAcentral describes it as "partial 16S ribosomal RNA". It matches the Rfam family "Bacterial small subunit ribosomal RNA", at positions 89 to 339 of the family's 1533-position model. The record is from RNAcentral. Lineage: Bacteria; Bacillati; Bacillota; Clostridia; Lachnospirales; Lachnospiraceae.